This is a non-coding RNA of Ictidomys tridecemlineatus (thirteen-lined ground squirrel), 1338 nucleotides long. Lineage: Eukaryota; Metazoa; Chordata; Mammalia; Rodentia; Sciuridae. The record is from RefSeq and is a predicted model, not a curated record.
CUUCCGGCGGUGCGGGUGCCCUUUGCUCAAUCAUCCGGGUGGCCCUGACCCGCGCGCCUCGGGUUCCGCCCGCCUGCACGCCCAAGCUCCACCCCUCUCUAAUGAGCGAGAUCUCUCCAGCCCGGACCUCCUACAGUGCUUUAGCGGUGGUGGGUAAGCUCAGGCCCCACUGAGUCCCCACUAUUACUUCAUUCACUUGUUAGCAAGAAGUUACUAGGCUCCUUCUGUUUGCUAUAACUUCCAGGCCCUGGGUUCAGAGAUGGACAGAGCAGAUGAAACCUGCCCCGUAGGCACCAGAGUGGAGACACGGAGAAGGGAUGAGAUGUGAGAUUGUCAGGUGGUAGCAAGAGCUGUUGGAGAAAAGUGCCAAGAAGGGUGGACAGCCAUUCAAGCAAAGAGGAGGCCUGGGAAAGACCAGGAGAUGUUUGUUCCCACAGAGGGAAUGGACAGCAUGAUGCCCAGGAAGGAGCAGCUGGCCUGGGAACAGGGUGUGCAGUUCAGAUGAGGUGAGCCUGCUUAUCCAGCUACUGUGGCUUCCUGAAGUGGCAUUCAGAAACCACCUGGUCACCCCGAAGAUGGCUGCAGGACUGUAUGGGCUGUCAUGGCCUUGGUCUAGAAUAAAAAGCAGACAGGUAAUAGACCACUCUAAACUGGCACUAGGUUACAAGUGUGCAUAAUGGAGACACAGAAGAUCGGGGUCUAGGAAGGCCACACAUAGAAGGUGACAUAGAGCUGAGAGCAGAUGAGGAAGAUCUCUGCACAUGGAUAGGAGUCUAGAGGGAGCUGGGAAAUUCAGACAGUAUUUGCCCAUGUGCAGAGAGAGGCAAAGAGGUAUCUAACAGCCUGUUGUGGUACUGCAAGAUAUAAGAGGUGAGGCCACUAAGGUGGACAGAGGCCAGAGGGCCUGACUGCCCUAUUAGCCUUUAUCCUACAGAGAAGAAUGAGCCACUGAAAAGACCCAAAGAGAAGGAAAGCCAUAAGCCAAUUUAUCUUUGGAAAGCCUGAGCUGCCAGGUAAAGGACUGGUGGAGGGAGGCUGAAUUACGAGAUUGAUAAGGAAGCUGCUUGUGAGCCAGCAGUGGAGCUGGCAGGCUUAGCCGAUGUGGGGAUGAGGGAGAGAAAAGCUCGAGAGGAUGCUGGAGAAUCAUCACCCUCCCAGGGUCUGGACUGUCUUUAUCUUUUAACUCUGUCAGAACACCUGGUCAAGUGUUCCCUUUCCUCCAGACCCAAGCCUCCUUUUUUAUACUUCUCCAUGCUCACUCCCUAAUCCUGGUUUCCUUCCUAAUUCCCCUCUUUGUUAUCUUUUCCUUUCUUAAAUACAGAGCCUAUAAAGUGCCUU